RNAcentral lists this ribosomal RNA (459 nucleotides) under uncultured bacterium. RNAcentral's name for it is "partial 16S ribosomal RNA". It matches the Rfam family "Bacterial small subunit ribosomal RNA", at positions 338 to 795 of the family's 1533-position model. The record is from RNAcentral.
CCUACGGGUGGCAGCAGUGAGGAAUAUUGGUCAAUGGGCGCGAGCCUGAACCAGCCAAGUCGCGUGAGGGAAGACGGUCCUAUGGAUUGUAAACCUCUUUUGUCGGGGAGCAAAAGACGCCACGCGUGGCGUUCCGAGAGUACCCGAAGAAAAAGCAUCGGCGAACUCCGUGCCAGCAGCCGCGGUAAUACGGAGGAUGCGAGCGUUAUCCGGAUUUAUUGGGUUUAAAGGGUGCGCAGGCGGAAGAUCAAGUCAGCGGUAAAAUUGAGAGGCUCAACCUCUUCGAGCCGUUGAAACUGGAUUGCUUGAGUGAGCGAGAAGUAUGCGGAAUGCGUGGUGUAGCGGUGAAAUGCAUAGAUAUCACGCAGAACUCCGAUUGCGAAGGCAGCAUACCGGCGCUCAACUGACGCUCAUGCACGAAAGUGUGGGUAUAGAACAGGAUUAGAUACCCCGGUAGUC